GGCCCUUCGGGGUACUCGAGUGGCGAACGGGUGAGUAACACGUGGGUGAUCUGCCCUGCACUUUGGGAUAAGCCUGGGAAACUGGGUCUAAUACCGAAUAUGACCACGCGCUUCAUGGUGUGUGGUGGAAAGCUUUUGCGGUGUGGGAUGGGCCCGCGGCCUAUCAGCUUGUUGGUGGGGUAAUGGCCUACCAAGGCGACGACGGGUAGCCGGCCUGAGAGGGUGACCGGCCACACUGGGACUGAGAUACGGCCCAGACUCCUACGGGAGGCAGCAGUGGGGAAUAUUGCACAAUGGGCGCAAGCCUGAUGCAGCGACGCCGCGUGAGGGAUGACGGCCUUCGGGUUGUAAACCUCUUUCAAUAGGGACGAAGCGCAAGUGACGGUACCUAUAGAAGAAGGACCGGCCAACUACGUGCCAGCAGCCGCGGUAAUACGUAGGGUCCGAGCGUUGUCCGGAAUUACUGGGCGUAAAGAGCUCGUAGGUGGUUUGUCGCGUUGUUCGUGAAAACUCACAGCUUAACUGUGGGCGUGCGGGCGAUACGGGCAGACUAGAGUACUGCAGGGGAGACUGGAAUUCCUGGUGUAGCGGUGGAAUGCGCAGAUAUCAGGAGGAACACCGGUGGCGAAGGCGGGUCUCUGGGCAGUAACUGACGCUGAGGAGCGAAAGCGUGGGGAGCGAACAGGAUUAGAUACCCUGGUAGUCCACGCCGUAAACGGUGGGUACUAGGUGUGGGUUUCCUUCCUUGGGAUCCGUGCCGUAGCUAACGCAUUAAGUACCCCGCCUGGGGAGUACGGCCGCAAAGCUAAAACUCAAAGGAAUUGACGGGGCCCGCACAAGCGGCGGAGCAUGUGGAUUAAUUCGAUGCAACGCGAAGAACCUUACCUGGGUUUGACAUGCACAGGACGACUGCAGAGAUGU
Molecule: ribosomal RNA, 921 nt
Filed under: Mycolicibacterium fortuitum
Lineage: Bacteria; Bacillati; Actinomycetota; Actinomycetes; Mycobacteriales; Mycobacteriaceae
Description: bacterial SSU rRNA
Rfam family: Bacterial small subunit ribosomal RNA
Source: RNAcentral